Long non-coding RNA from Limulus polyphemus (Atlantic horseshoe crab), 444 nucleotides. RefSeq lists it as uncharacterized. The record is from RefSeq and is a predicted model, not a curated record. The transcript is spliced from 3 exons. Lineage: Eukaryota; Metazoa; Arthropoda; Merostomata; Xiphosura; Limulidae.
UUUAAAGAGUAUAAAAGGGUGAGAAGUCCUUGCGUUUUCAUCUUCAGCUUCUUUUAGAUUGUUGUACAAACAACCAACAAGCAAAUUAUCAUCAUCACCAUGAAGGCUGUGUUCGCCAUCCUGUUUUUGGCUCUUGUUGCCACCGUCAUGGCUGGUUACUACUAUCCUUAUCAUGGUGGUCACUAUUACGGAGCACACUAUGGUGGUUAUCCUUAUGGACACUUUUACAACUAUAGACACACUCCCUACUAUUCUGGACUUCGUUAUUACGGAAGCUAUGGCUACCCGCAUCACUUCUAAGUUGACCUGAAUCAGUGCUCGUGUUCUGAAGACAUGAUCCGGACGAGUUUUCAUUUGAGCUCCACGAUCAACCUUAUCGUUCAUGUUGUUUUUCUUAAGUUUGUAUAUCAAUGAAUAUGAAAUAUUAAUAAACGAUUAUGAAAA